UACGAAGGGGGCUAGCGUUGCUCGGAAUUACUGGGCGUAAAGGGCGCGUAGGCGGGUGUUUAAGUCAGAGGUCAAAUCCCAGGGCUCAACCCUGGAACUGCCUUUGAUACUGGGCACCUAGAGUUCGGGAGAGGUGUGUGGAACUCCGAGUGUAGAGGUGAAAUUCGUAGAUAUUCGGAAGAACACCAGUGGCGAAGGCGACACACUGGCCCGUUACUGACGCUGAGGCGCGAAAGCGUGGGGAGCAAACAGG
RNAcentral lists this ribosomal RNA (253 nucleotides) under uncultured bacterium. RNAcentral describes it as "partial 16S ribosomal RNA". It matches the Rfam family "Bacterial small subunit ribosomal RNA", at positions 524 to 776 of the family's 1533-position model. The record is from RNAcentral.